CCCCUCUCCGCUUUGCAUUUGCUUUUGCCCAAGCAUAAAUUCUUUCCUCUCUCUCUUUCAAAACUCUUCCAAGGCAAAGGACACAACAAUUAUCGGUGUUUUCAGAUAGAUAAACCCUAUGGACCCGCUCCGAUCCAAUCUCUCUCGAGUUCGGAUUCCCGAACCCACCAAUCGCAUCUACAAGCAUGAAUGCUGCAUCUCAUUUGACACUCCGNCUGAAGGUGGGUUGUUUGUUGACAUGAACACUUUUCUUGCAUUUGGGAAGGAUUAUGUGGGUUGGAACUAUGAGAAGACUGGAAACUCAGUUUAUUUGAUAAAUCAAACAAAGAAGUUGGUUCCUGAAGAUAGACCUUCAAAAAAACCGACUUUGUUGGCUAUAGGUGUUGAUGGAGGAUUUGACAACAAUGAACCUGAAUAUGAAGAGACUCACAAUAUAGUGAUAUUGCCUGAUUAUGUUACUUUUUCUUUUCCUUCUGUAGAGUUGCCAGAGAAGG
RNAcentral lists this unclassified non-coding RNA (494 nucleotides) under Hevea brasiliensis (rubber tree). Lineage: Eukaryota; Viridiplantae; Streptophyta; Magnoliopsida; Malpighiales; Euphorbiaceae. The record is from RNAcentral.